Vidua chalybeata is the source of this 1473-nucleotide long non-coding RNA. RefSeq lists it as uncharacterized. Lineage: Eukaryota; Metazoa; Chordata; Aves; Passeriformes; Viduidae. The record is from RefSeq and is a predicted model, not a curated record. The transcript has 2 exons.
CGUAACCAGCCCUGCGUGUUUAUGACCUGUCAGACACAUGACUGUCACCUGCCAGGCCCUGCAGGACAACUUCUUCCCCUCCUGUCCCUCCGUCCUGCACUGCUGGCCCCAUCCACACCCAUCACCCGUGGAUGCCAAGGGAGGAUGUGGCUCUUGAUGCUGGCAGGACCCCAUCCCAGCUGCAGGGAUUUAGGCGUUCCUCCUGAGAAACCUCCAAAAUUUUUAGGAAUUAAAUACAAGAAUUAAAAGCUGCUUUUUACACUUCCUAAAAGGCACUACCAGGGCAGGAGAGGAGGCAGCAGGGACGAACACUGGUGACAAGGAGCACUUGGUGCUCAACAGGCAGAUCCCAGGGAGAAAAGGGUCCAAGCCAUUCCCAGAGAGCUCCAUCAGACACAAGCAGCUUGGCUGAUGCCAGUGCCAAACCACAGCUAAGGUUAGCAGCCUCUGAUGGGAAAUUACUUGUAUCGAGCACUCUGGAGGUUUCUUCCUUUCCAAACCCAGAUUUGUCUUCGGUGGUGGUGAGGGGGGGUGAAUGCUCCACAAACAACUUCUGGUAAGUGUUGUCUCCUCCUCAUCCUGCCUCCUCUUAUAAGUCAUGCUUUUCAUGGAAAUUUAUAUAUUUUUUUUUUUUUAAUAAUUUCAAUUGAAAUUAUGAAAUUAAGGCUUAGAGCACAGAUCAACUCAGCAGUGCCCCUCCCUGGGCACAGUGCAGGCAAGAGGAUGGAGGCUGUGGCAGCUCAGUGGGUGCUGGAGAGGGUCCAGCUCAUCCUCACCUUCACCCCACUGCAGGUCCCCAGCAUAAGGCAAUGAUUUCCUUCCUCCCCUGCACACUGGGACCCCCAAAUCCUGCCCUUCCCCUUGGCCACACUAUAAACCACCACAUUCCACACAAGCAGCACCUCUGCUCCAGCCUUUUGCUGGGCAGAGAAAUGGCUGCAAGAGAAAGGAGCACACAGGGAGCCCUGUCCCAGCUCCAAAAAAGGGAGCAGACUCAGAUCCAUGGCAAAGUGAGGCCCACUGGGGCCACAAGGCAGCACUGUGACAUCUGAGAUUGCUGCAGUUGUGCCCAGUAAUUCCAGAGUUCCACAGGACAACGAACAUUGGGACUCUCAGCACUGCCACAGCACCACGGCAGCAUUGCCCUCACACAGGCACCCACCGUUAUUCCAGCAGAGGAGGAAGUCAGGAGCAAAGUGCUGUGCUUUCUCCAGGAUCGUUACAAUUAAUUGGAUUUGAGCUCCGUGGUGCUUCAACUCAAAUUAAAUAAUGGCUCCAUGAGAUCAGAGCUCCCACCUCUCCAACCACUCACACCCUGGGAACACCAGGCUGGUGGCUGCUCUGCCUGGACACAACAGGAGCCCAGAGCCAAAGUCCUGCCUCGGCAGGUCACGACCCACACGUGUAUUUUUGGCAGAACUGCCUUUUUUGGGGGGAUGGCAGCUGGAAAAGUGUAAAUGGCAGAUGAGACAG